AUACGUAGGGGGCGAGCGUUGUCCGGAAUGAUUGGGCGUAAAGGGCGCGUAGGCGGCCCGGUAAGUCUGGAGUGAAAGUCCUGUUUUUAAGAUGGGAAUUGCUUUGGAUACUGUCGGGCUUGAGUGCAGGAGAGGUGAGUGGAAUUCCCAGUGUAGCGGUGAAUGCGUAGAGAUUGGGAGGAACACCAGUGGCGAAGGCGACUUACUGGACUGUAACUGACGCUGAGGCGCGAAAGUGUGGGGAGCAAACAGGAUUAGAUACCCUGGUAGUCCACACUGUAAACGAUGAAUGCUAGGUGUAGGGGGUAUCGACCCCUUCUGUGCCGCAGUCAACACAAUAAGCAUUCCGCCUGGGGAGUACGGCCGCAAGGUUGAAACUCAAAGGAAUUGACGGGG
This 396-nucleotide ribosomal RNA is filed under the name uncultured bacterium. Its description in RNAcentral is "partial 16S ribosomal RNA". It matches the Rfam family "Bacterial small subunit ribosomal RNA", at positions 523 to 918 of the family's 1533-position model. The record is from RNAcentral.